UUUGUACUUAAAAGCUUUACAUAGCUCUAGUCUUCAUGAUUAAUGCUUGGAGGUCCCUUAUUAAGUUUUAUUAAAUUUUUCUGAAGGACCAUCACACGGAAAAGGAAGCAUCUGCUUGAGCCCAGUGGGCAUAAUUAGAAGAAAUGAAUGGAAUUUUCAGUAAGGAAGAACUUCCUGCCAUUGAGAACUAUCUAAAGGUGGGAGAGGUUGUCUAUCCCUCAGAGGACUUUUAAGCAAGAAUUCUUUUUAAGGCACCAUCUUAUUAAAAGUGGAUUAGCAUAUCUGCUUCAAGACUACAAAUAAUUUGGAAAGGGAGGUUUUAUUUCAAGAAGUCUGAAAAAAUGUCUUGUGUGGGGAAGUUGGAACUGGCCUCCUCCUGAGCACAAAGGGAUAAAGGCAAUAAAACAGGUAGGAAAAACUUCAGAGAGGAGCACAGAGGAUAGAGUGCCAGCCCUGGGGAGCCAGGAGGAUCUGUGUACAAAUCUAGCCUCAGACACCUACUUAUUGCAUGACCCUGGUCUUCCUUUAGCAGUCUGAAGGUCUCUCCUCUUGAAGCUGGAAGCCAGAAGCACCUAGAAUGAUUAUAAAAGCUGAGACUUGAAGAGAGGCUCAAGCAUGAAGAGGGUUCCCCAAAACUGAAGAGCUCUUC
RNAcentral lists this long non-coding RNA (649 nucleotides) under Monodelphis domestica (gray short-tailed opossum). Its description in RNAcentral is "lncRNA (ENSMODG00000036714.1)". The record is from RNAcentral. Lineage: Eukaryota; Metazoa; Chordata; Mammalia; Didelphimorphia; Didelphidae.